GGCGCGGUAGCAAAGCGGUUAUGCGUCGGAUUGCAAAUCCGUUGAGCCCGGUUCGACUCCGGGCCGCGCCUCCA
This 74-nucleotide transfer RNA is filed under the name Aquabacterium sp. NJ1. RNAcentral describes it as "tRNA-Cys". It matches the Rfam family "tRNA". Rfam says of the family: Transfer RNA (tRNA) molecules are approximately 80 nucleotides in length. Their secondary structure includes four short double-helical elements and three loops (D, anti-codon, and T loops). Lineage: Bacteria; Pseudomonadati; Pseudomonadota; Betaproteobacteria; Burkholderiales; Sphaerotilaceae. RNAcentral also lists the same sequence under 4 other names. The record is from RNAcentral.